ACGGAAGGCAGCAGUGAGGAAUAUUGGUCAAUGGGCGGAAGCCUGAACCAGCCAAGUAGCGUGAGGGAUGACUGCCCUAUGGGUUGUAAACCUCUUUUGUUGGGGAAUAAAGUUAGCCACGUGUGGCUAUUUGUAUGUACCCUUCGAAUAAGCAUCGGCUAAUUCCGUGCCAGCAGCCGCGGUAAUACGGAAGAUGCGAGCGUUAUCCGGAUUUAUUGGGUUUAAAGGGAGCGUAGGCGGUCUGUUAAGUCAGCGGUUAAAUGUCAGUGCCCAACAUUGGCAUGCCGUUGAUACUGGCGGACUUGAAUACACACAAGGAAGGUGGAAUUCGUCGUGUAGCGGUGAAAUGCUUAGAUAUGACGAAGAACUCCGAUUGCGAAGGCAGCCUUCUGGGGUGCGAUUGACGCUGAGGCUCGAAAGCGCGGGUAUCAAACAGGAUUAGAUACCCUGGUA
This 453-nucleotide ribosomal RNA is filed under the name uncultured Paraprevotella sp. RNAcentral describes it as "partial 16S ribosomal RNA". It matches the Rfam family "Bacterial small subunit ribosomal RNA", at positions 341 to 792 of the family's 1533-position model. Lineage: Bacteria; Pseudomonadati; Bacteroidota; Bacteroidia; Bacteroidales; Prevotellaceae. The record is from RNAcentral.